GUCUACGGCCAUGCUACCCUGAACAAGCCGGAUUCCAUCUGAUCUGGGAAACUAAGCAGAGUCGGGUCUGGUUAGUAUUUGGAUGGGAUACCACCUAGGAAGACCAGAUGCCGUAGGCA
Molecule: ribosomal RNA, 119 nt
Filed under: Pteropus alecto (black flying fox)
Lineage: Eukaryota; Metazoa; Chordata; Mammalia; Chiroptera; Pteropodidae
Also listed under: 1 other name
Source: RNAcentral